Myxocyprinus asiaticus (Chinese sucker) is the source of this 4460-nucleotide RNA transcript. It is a transcript of the gene named protein NLRC3-like, with no coding region annotated. The transcript has 6 exons. NCBI's taxonomy places the organism in Eukaryota, Metazoa, Chordata, Actinopteri, Cypriniformes, Catostomidae. The record is from RefSeq and is a predicted model, not a curated record.
UUCUUUGUUUUGGUGCCUCAACCCUAACUUUCUGUCUAUUGUUAUCCUUGUAAAUAGAGUCUGGGUUAAGUAUUCACAAUUUAGACUGAAAUGGCAUCCAAUUUUAAAGAAAAAACAACUCAAGACCAAACAACAAGUAAUCAGUCCAAACUGUCAAGCUCAGCUUUUGAAGACAAUCCUCAAGAAGAGAUUUACACUAUGAGAUCUUUGCUGCAAGACAGGUUAAGAAGACAAUAUAAAGACACUCCAAAGACUACAAACUACUUUCCACUGAAGAUAUAUUUGGGGAAACAUUUGGAAAGCCAAAUGUUUCAUGAGAUGCGAGAGCUGGAAAGACCCUUCAAUGACAUCAAAAAAAGAUGAGAAUAUGAUUAGUUAUGAUGAUGAAACACACCAGCAAUUUGAUUUUGUGUUUCCUCUCCACCUGCCUGAGCUGAAUGUUCUAUAAAACCAGAAACACAGCCUGAUGGAGCUCUUAGAUAUGUUCUUUCCAAAGUUAGUCAAUGUGAAGGUUCUCAAACAAGCCCAAGUCCUCUUUAUAUUUGAUGGCCUGGAUGAGUUUUGACUCCCUCUUAAUUUCAACAAGAUGUGCAGCAAUCCAAUGAAACAGGUUUUUAUAGACUGCCUGCUUGUCAGCCUUCUCAAAGGGAACCUUUUACCAUCUGCCCAGAUUCUGAUCACCUCAAAGCUCAAAGAUGUUUGUUCAGUUCCUCCAGAACAUGUACAGCAGGUGGUUGAACUUUAUGGGUUAGAUGAUUUACAGUGGGAAGAACAUAUCAAAAGGUGAGUUUCCGAUCAAAGUAUUGCUGCAAGAGUGAUCACUCAGGUUAUGUCAUCAAGGAGUCUUUACAUCAUGCAUUCCCUGUCAUUUUUUUGUCAAAUGCCACUGUUGUGGAAGAACUAUUUAGUAAUAGCUGCAAUACAGAUCCUCCAUUGACACUGACCGAAAUGCUCUCGCAUUUCCUGCUGAUUCAAAUGAGGAGAUGAGUGCUCCAGAAAGAAAAAAGACUGAGGAAAGAUCCACUAGAUCAGGCACUGAGGAGAUCCUAACGUUAGCUAGACUGGCUUGGCACAUGCUGGAAAAGGACACUUUAAUUUUCACAGAAAAAGACAUGAAAAUGGCCAAUAUUGAUGGUUUACUUCCUGUCAAACUUGUUGAGGAUUGGCCCAUGAUUUUCAACACAGAGGAACUGAUGCAUUUAGGGAAAACAUUCCGCUUCACACAUCCCAGCAUCCAGGAGCUCCUUGCUGCACUGUAUGUUACUGUAAAUUUACUGUCUUUCAUACUGAUAGAAAGAGUAAAGAGGAUGCUCAGACCCACAGAAGUUCCUCUUGAAAUGCACAGAAGAGCAUUGGAUAGAGCUUCAAGAAGCAAAAAUGGCCACCUGGACAUCUUUCUCCUCUUUCUAUUGGGCAUGUCUUUUGGUUCCAGCAAAAUCCUCCUGUCUGACUUCUUCCGAAAUUCAUCUUGCAAUGUUAGGCUAGAGGAUUUAGUCCUUAACAUCUUAAGGAAAAUCCAGAAGAGCCCAUCAUUUGGGUUUUCAGUUAAUCUCUCUCGCUGUUUAGAAGAGCUAGAUGUAGCCUUGCCUAUAUUUAAAGAUCGAGGUCAGAUCGAGUUUCAAGGAUAUGCGAACGCAACAGUCAAGCCUUCAGAGUGCUCACAUGUGGCAACUACUUUAGUGACCUCCGUGAACUCAUCUGCAACGUUUUACAUUAAGAAACACGCCAACACAGAAGAAGCCGCCAUGAAACUGGUGCCUGCAAUCGAGAUCUCCAGAGUCCUCAGCAUUGUCUUUUUAGGAUACCAUCUUCUGAUAAUGCUUUCAGUGGUGGGGCUGUUCCUCUGGUCUUUGCACUUUUAAAUAACCCCUCAUCACAUCUGAGAGAGCUGAACUUACAACAUGCAUACCCUUAUGAUAACAGGGCAGUCCAGUGUCUCUCCCAAAUCCUAGUGAACCCUUUCUGUCAUCUGGAGAAACUCGCGUGAGUAUAACGAUUAGAGCCUGUUAUUCAGAAACUGCAAUUUUACUUGAUUUUGUUACUCAGAAUUUACUUCUUAGAGAUCUUGCUAAUCAGAAUGCAGUGCGCAAAAAAGGUACCAACGAAAGAACAGAAAGUUACAAAGAGAAUAAAGAUAUUUUUUGUCCAUAUUGCACAGUCCUAGUGUGUUCUUGCAAUUUCAGAAUCUCUGUAACUAAAGUUGCUUAAGUUUUGUGAUGUAUCACAUAUACAUCCUAUUUUAAGUGAAAUAUGAGACAAAAUUGACGCUUAAGAAAAAGCAACCUCUAAUCAAUAAAAGUUUCAGUCCACACCAGACUUUAUGGCCAUUCGAACUGUUAUAAGUUGCAUUAACAUUGUUUCUUUCAGAAAUACAGUGCUUUGUCUUCCCAAGUGUACAGGUACAGCUCUCUUUAGAAGGUUGUCAGAUGUUGGCUGCAGCUCUCUGUAGCAGUCCUUGUCAUCUGAAAGAGCUUGACUUGAGGAGUUGUUUUCAAUGUUUAGGCAAAAAUCACACUGUGAUUUGCACCACACUGUUGGCAUGGUUCAGACAUCCAAACUGCAAACUAACAGUACUAAGGUUGGCAGAUUGCAAUAUAGAUGAGGACGCUUUCUCUGCAUUGGUUUCUGCAUUUCAAGAAAACCCUUCACACCUGAAGGAAUUUGAUCUAACUAACAACAGACGAAAUGGAGUUGAAUUUGAGCAGCUUUUCUCUCUGCUGGGGGAUCCUCGCUUCAAACUGGAGUCCCUGCGGAUUAUUAACUGUCGGUAUGAAUGAUGAAUCUGGUCUUAAUCUAAAAGAGCUGUUCUGUUUGUUCUUGGAACUUGCAGCCUCAGAUGUCUGGAUCUCAGCAUGUGUCGCUUGUUAGAUUCUUGUGGAGAAGCUCUCCACCGGACUGAGUAACCCUGACUGUAAACUGAAUAUUCUCAGUUGAGUCUGAAUAUAAAGAGGUCAUAUCAUGAGUAAUAAACUUUUCCUCAAUCUUUUAGGACUUUACACAUAGGCAUAGGCCCUGUUUACAUCUGGUAUUAAGAUCUAUCUCAGGAGAGGUAUCUUGAAAAUGUUCCAUGAUGUCUAUGCAUGUAUAUGUAUGUGCUUUUUAAAGAUUUCCAAUUGGACAGUUAUUUCUUUUAAAAGUUGCAAAAAACUUUUUUAUAUAUUCGUGACUACUUUAAAAGGUGAAAAUCUAUGGCAUGUGAGAAGUAACAAAAUUACCUAAAUGUGUGCUUUACUGUUACUAUAUUUAUUGCCUAAAGGAUGACACACUGCGGUAUAACAGAAUUGGGAGCUACUUGUUUGGCGAGAGCUCUCCAUCAACCCGUACAACAUGCAAGAAAUAGACUUGAGCAUCAAUCCAGUAAAAGGUCCAGGUUUUGACCAGCUCAAAUCUGUUUUGGAAGAUUUAACAACAUGAUUAGAGAAAUUAAUUGUGGUCGGCCUGGACGAGAGACGUGACAUGGAAACUCUACGGAAAUGUUAGACUGCCUUUUUUGUAAUUGCUUUUUAAUUAAAAGUCAACAUGAAACAGCAUUUGCUACCCAUUUUACUUCUUUAAUGUGAUGCAUUUCCGAGUAAGGCUCUUCAACAAGAAAAAAAUGUAAGAUGUGUGCCAGUUGACUUGGGAUCCCAUCGCAGCUGAGCAAUAUCUAGUGGUGUUAGAGAAAGAUAAGAUGGUUUAUGAUAGAUGCAAACAACAGAAGCGCAUGCCAUAUCAUCCAGAGAGGUUUGAGGCUCCAGGCCAAGUCAUGAGCAGAUAGGGGCUUUGCCGCCGCCAUUUCUUCCAGGUGGAAUGGUUUGGCACGGGGCCCAUUAUUGGAAUGGGCUAUCAAGCCCUGAACUUAAUAAUAAAUCCUGGGCUAUUUCUCCAAGCACACCCUACAAUGUCUAUAUAGCCCUUGAAGGAGUGAUAGAGACCUGGCUCCCUUCCUGCACGGCCUAGAGAGUUGGGGUGUAUCUGGACUGGGAUGCAGGAAUUCUGUCCAUCUACAACACCACACGUGACAUUGCCGAACUCAUACACACCUUCCAUACUAACUUCACCCAUCGUCUCUAUCUACUCGUACAAACCUUAGUCGGCAUUCGGCUGUUGCAAGACAACCCUCCACCAGUCUGUUGCCAUGAACAUGACCCCUGGGAUAUGUGCAGGGGUGAAAUGAACUGCAAGGGUUGUAACGGGUCAAAAGUGAUUAGAUAGACUGAUGUGCUUUCUGUUUGUGUAUGAGCUGAUGAUUAAAUUAAUAAUGUAGUCAUUUAAUCUGGAGAGGGCAUAGAUGCUAGUUUCAAUGUUUAAGUAUUAUUGAUGUCUGUCAUGUAAAGACUUAGCAUAUGAUAUAAUAUAGCAUUGUCAUACAACACAAUACUUUGUUAGUUCCUACAGUGCUGUUUAUUAUAUAGCUUUACUUAAUUGUUUAAUUUAUUGUUUGGGAACAAAAUGAAUUUAAAUUUCAGGAAAUAAUCUGA